This 391-nucleotide ribosomal RNA is filed under the name uncultured bacterium. RNAcentral describes it as "bacterial SSU rRNA". It matches the Rfam family "Bacterial small subunit ribosomal RNA", at positions 28 to 420 of the family's 1533-position model. The record is from RNAcentral.
GACGAACGCUGGCGGCGUGCUUAACACAUGCAAGUCGAGCGGUAAGGCCCUUUCGGGGGUACACGAGCGGCGAACGGGUGAGUAACACGUGGGUGACCUGCCCUCAGCUCUGGGAUAAGCCUGGGAAACCGGGUCUAAUACCGGAUAUGACUCCAUGACGCAUGUUGUGGGGUGGAAAGCCUUGUGCGGCUGAGGAUGGGCCCGCGGCCUAUCAGCUUGUUGGUGGGGUGAUGGCCUACCAAGGCGACGACGGAUAGCCGGCCUGAGAGGGCGACCGGCCACACUGGGACUGAGACACGGCCCAGACUCCUACGGGAGGCAGCAGUGGGGAAUCUUGCGCAAUGGGCGAAAGCCUGACGCAGCGACGCCGCGUGAGGGAUGACGGCCUCGG